Lolium rigidum is the source of this 1056-nucleotide long non-coding RNA. RefSeq lists it as uncharacterized. The transcript has 4 exons. The record is from RefSeq and is a predicted model, not a curated record. NCBI's taxonomy places the organism in Eukaryota, Viridiplantae, Streptophyta, Magnoliopsida, Poales, Poaceae.
GUAUGCUGAAAUAUGCAGAGACAUCAUUUGUUUUUAACCUCUUUUCUUGUAUGUAAUAUGAAGUAGUGAAUAGUGCAUUUCCUGGAGAUUUGCGAUCUUUUUAACCUCUUUUAUUGUAUCUGAUAUAAUCAUUUUAAUUUCUUACUCUGAGCUAUAAUAGGUUUAUUGACAAUAUCAAAGGUACUAAGCUACUGUGUAAGUCAGAUUGCACUGUUGUGUAGGAUCCCCUGAAUCAGUCCGGCAACCUGGGAAGAUAUUGACAGAAUACGACGUGCCAGAUCUUCCACAAUAAAGAGAUAAUGUAUAUCACUAAAACAGUCUUGACUUGUGCUUGCUGUGACUUUGCCGUUCAUAGAAGUUGCACGAACUAAGGCCCAAAUCAGCAUGGACUGCUAUAUAUAUUUGGAUAUCAUCUAUGUACAUUAGAAGGAAAAACACUAGAAGGAAUUCAGAUAUCAGCUAUGUACAUUAGAAGGCAGAAUUCUAGAAGGAAUUAAUCACAGCUAAAUCUCCAUGUGCCCAACCGUGGAGGUGGUGAGGAAGAUCUUGCAGCGAAGUAACACCUCCAUGUGCAGCUAUGCCAUCACCGGUCAGGGCGCCACUGCCGCCGACCUCAGUGUAAGAAGAAGUCCACCUACAGACCAUAUGCUAGCUGAUUAUUGUAUCAUUAUUAGUGUGUACUUUCAGAUGAAGUUCAGGUUUUUGCUCUCGGCUAUAUAUACAGAAUGAAGCUGGAGCCUUAGGCAAUCUUCAACUCAGUUUUUCAGCAGUGAAUUUCACAGUUUUUAGCCAAUGUAAUAAAGGACUUAAAGUUAUCAUAUCCUGUAUCGAGCAUUGACACUGAAUGAACAAUACAAUAUAGUGAUCGCAGAGCUAGAAUUUCUGUUUAUUGCCCGGUGUUGUUAAAUUAGAGGCAUUGUUUGAUGGAGUAGUGUUAACCCCAAGGUCUUCAUGGAACAUCUAUGUCAGUGUUUUAUUUAUGCUAUAUGUGACUGCUUUUAGGUUGAAAGGCUUGAUAUUCAGUCCAGAAUGUUUUUCCUUGGUUCAAGAACUAUU